This 253-nucleotide ribosomal RNA is filed under the name uncultured bacterium. Its description in RNAcentral is "partial 16S ribosomal RNA". It matches the Rfam family "Bacterial small subunit ribosomal RNA", at positions 524 to 776 of the family's 1533-position model. The record is from RNAcentral.
UACGGGGGGGGCUAGCGUUGUCCGGAAUUAUUGGGCGUAAAGAGCUCGUAGGCGGACUGUCACGUCUGCUGUGAAAAGCUGGGGCUUAACCCUGGCCUUGCAGUGGAUACGGGCAGACUAGAGGUAGGUAGGGGAGAAUGGAAUUCCCGGUGUAGCGGUGAAAUGCGCAGAUAUCGGGAGGAACACCGGUGGCGAAGGCGGUUCUCUGGGCCUUACCUGACGCUGAGGAGCGAAAGCGUGGGGAGCGAACAGG